RNAcentral lists this long non-coding RNA (768 nucleotides) under Homo sapiens (human). Its description in RNAcentral is "non-protein coding lnc-POTEM-4:2". Lineage: Eukaryota; Metazoa; Chordata; Mammalia; Primates; Hominidae. The record is from RNAcentral.
ACUGCACUUCCUGCGAGGCCCCUGCAGCAGCAGCGGCGUGGUCAGAGCGAGCUUCGGAGAAGCAGUGGUGGGUUCCAUGUGAUGGUGGAGUAGGAGGCAGGUCUCCGCGGAAAGAAAAAAGAAGAAAACAAACCUCCAUACGAGAAUGGGUCUAAAGGAACUUCCCAAACCUCCAUGAUUUUGCAGGAAACAAGAUAAAGGUGGUUUCCACAAGAAAAAUGGCACAAUGUUUCUCAGAAGACAAUUACAUAAGAAUCAGCAUACUUCAAAUUCACAGCAAAUAAUCAGACAAUUGAUGAAAAUACUUACCCAAACACUAAUUGUAGACUAUGCCUUCUGAAUAUGUUUGUCAUAAACUUGGAGUAAGGAAUCCUCACAGGCACUGGACAAUUCAAAAAACGUAAAGUUGUUUGUUAGAAUACUGGUGCUUUUGGGUAGAAACCCUCAUCCAUAUCCUGGUAAGGCUUGAAGUUGCACAGGAGUUUUCAUUUGUCAAAACCCAGAAAACCAUAAGCUUUAGAUUUGUGAAUUUUAUAUUGUAUUAUAUGUGACCUUUCUUUUUAAAAAAUGAGCUGUAAGCAGUCUCCCAGACAGUAGCUCAGCCUCCAGAACUCUCUUUCUGCAUAGUUGAAGACCCCUCUUCACACAAGAUGGUAGCAACAAAUCAUAGGUGCAAUUGCACCAAAUUCACAGAAGAUCAAUUGAAAAUCCUCAUCAAUACCUUCACUCAAAAACCUUACCCAGGUUAUGCUACCAAACAAAAACUUG